This 961-nucleotide ribosomal RNA is filed under the name Hymenochaete rubiginosa. RNAcentral's name for it is "partial large subunit ribosomal RNA". It matches the Rfam family "Eukaryotic large subunit ribosomal RNA", at positions 53 to 983 of the family's 3401-position model. The record is from RNAcentral. Lineage: Eukaryota; Fungi; Basidiomycota; Agaricomycetes; Hymenochaetales; Hymenochaetaceae.
AGGGAGAAGGACUAACAGGAUUCCCCUAGUAACUGCGAGUGAACCGGGAUGAGCUCAAAUUUAAAAUCUGGCGGUUCUGCCGUCCGAGUUGUAAUCUGGAGAAGCGUUUUCCGCGUCGGACCGUGUACAAGUCUCUUGGAAUAGUGCGUCAUAGAGGGUGAGAAUCCCGUCCAUGACACGGACUCCCGAUGCUAUGUGAUACGCUCUCAAAGAGUCGAGUUGUUUGGGAAUGCAGCUCAAAAUGGGUGGUAAAUUCCAUCUAAAGCUAAAUAUUGGCGAGAGACCGAUAGCGAACAAGUACCGUGAGGGAAAGAUGAAAAGCACUUUGGAAAGAGAGUUAAACAGUACGUGAAAUUGUUGAAAGGGAAACGCUUGAAGUCAGUCGCGUCGUACGGAGCUCAGCCUUGCUUCUGCUUGGUGUAUUCUCUGUGUCGACGGGUCAACGUCAAUUUCGGCUGGUGGAGAAGGGCUCAAGGAAUGUGGCGUCGUUUCGGCGACGUGUUAUAGCCUUGGGUCCUAUGGCCCCACUGGGGAUGAAGAACGCAACACGCCCUUGGGGGCCGGGGUUCCCCCUACCUUUCCUGGUUAAGAAGGUGGCAAAAUUGCUUUUAACCACCCGUCCUGGAACACCGAACAAAGAAUCUAACCUGGCUGGCAGUGGUCCGGUGGAAAACCCUUGCGCGUAAUGGAAGUGAAAGUUGGGAUUCCUCCGCAGGGGGUGGCACCACCGCCCGGCCUGAAAUUCUCUGAAGGGGCUGCGGGAGAACAUGGUUGUUGGGACCCCGAAGAAGGGUGAACUAAUGCUGAAUUAGGGUGAAGGCAGGAGGAAACUCCUGUUGGAAGCUUCGUAGCCGAUUCCUGACGUUGCAAAUUCGAUCGUCAAUUUGGGGUAUUAGGGGCGGAAAGAACUAAUCGAACCAUCCUAGUAGCUGGUUCCUGCCGAUCUCUCCUCCAGAGAGAA